Long non-coding RNA from Peromyscus eremicus (cactus mouse), 1536 nucleotides. RefSeq lists it as uncharacterized. The record is from RefSeq and is a predicted model, not a curated record. NCBI's taxonomy places the organism in Eukaryota, Metazoa, Chordata, Mammalia, Rodentia, Cricetidae. The transcript is spliced from 3 exons.
CUCGGAACAACAAGCACCAGAGGAUGAACAUGAGGGCCAGGCAAGAAGUCCAGCCAGACAUCCCACUGGUCCCCACUGCCUGGGCUGGUGGCCGAAGCUGCACCUGGCAGGUCAGGGAGUGGUCAAGAGCUGCCCCGGAUCCUCUCCAUGUAGUUACGAAGCUCCUCCGGGUCCUUCAGCCCCAUGUCCUCGCACACCCAGCGGAUGUCCUCCUCACCUGCCACCAGGAUGGACUGUACAGCUGGGGCCCCUACAGGCUCCUCGGGCGGCUGGGCUGGGGGUACUGGCGCAAAUGUCACAAACUCUACUCUCUUCCGACGUCCCCCAGCUUCUUUGCGGGCCAGGGUGCUCGAGGAGCCAACAGUGCCCUCUGAAGCACUGGGGGCCACAGUUGGGGCAUCCCCUCCUGCCCCACUUUCACACGGGCAGCCCCCCUCCCCCUUGGGUGGGCCCGGGGAGGAGCAACGGUCCAGCUGCCGACUCAGUUCCUCCUGAUUGGUGCCCAGCCAGACCCAGUUAUGGGGCUGGGGGGAGGAAGGGUCCGUAGCGCUGUCGGGAGGCUCUUUGCGCUGGUAGCGCAACACGAAGACCACACCAUUGACCAGAAAGAUGAGGAUGGCCAGACAGAAGAUACCCAGCAGGGCAUACAUUCCCAGCUCUAGGGGCCUGACCUGGGUACUCCAGCUGCCACGUGACAGGGCGAGUGACUGCCACACCCCCACCAGUGCUAUUCUCCACUGCGAAGUCCACCCACAGGAACUCGGACAGUUCAGGGGGGCUGCUGGCAGAAGAGAGAGGAGCCGAGUGUUUGCCAGCCACCGGUACCACCUGUGUUCAUAAGCAGCCUCUACAAUUAUCCCCAUUUGACUGAGAAGGGGACCAAGGCACAGAGGUCCCAGUGCUCACCGAAGAGUAAGAAGAUUGGCCGUGAAGUUGUGUCGAAGCAGGAGGGUGGCAGUGAAGAGCUGGCCGGGCCUCAUUGGCACAUCGGGUGCCCGCAAAGUGACUGCUUCAUCCAGAGGUACCUCCUGGUACUGUGGGGGGUCUGCAGGGUGCAGCUCCACACCACCCACCGGGAGAGCCUGCUCCCCAGGUUCUUCCUCUGCGCCAGGGCCACAGCCCCCAGGUCCCUCACCUGCAGGCUCCAGGGUAUAGGCCAGUUCAGCCCUUGUGGUGGCACUUUGGGAGAACCAGUGAGAGGGGAACUCCAAUUCCACCACACAGGCACCCAGGGAUGGCUGGAAACACAAGGAAGGUAAAGCCUGUGGUUGGCCCUGAGAAGGAUGCGAAGGAGUCUUACUCCCAUUGGCAGAAAAACCUAAACUGAAGAGGUCCAUGGAAGGCAGAACCAAGGACUUGUAGCAGAAUCGUAGGGACAAUCUUGAUCACAUCCCAGGACCUACCUAUAGCUCAGAAACAGCAAGAAACAGAUCCCUCCAGCGGGUCUUUGGGUCCAACCCCACAAUAGUAGAAAUAAAACUCACAAAAGUUCAAAUCUCUACACACAAAGGCUGAUAGCUCUGUUACAGUGUCUUA